AUUGAACGCUGGCGGAAUGCUUUACACAUGCAAGUCGAACGAUGAACCUUAGCUUGCUAAGGGGAUUAGUGGCGAACGGGUGAGUAAUAUAUCGGAACGUACCUUGUAAUGGGGGAUAACUAGUCGAAAGAUUAGCUAAUACCGCAUACGCCCUGAGGGGGAAGGUAGGGGAUCUUCGGACCUUACGUUAUAAUAGCGGCCGAUAUCUGAUUAGCUAGUUGGUGGGGUAAUGGCCUACCAAGGCGACGAUCAGUAGCUGGUCUGAGAGGACGACCAGCCACACUGGAACUGAGACACGGUCCAGACUCCUACGGGAGGCAGCAGUGGGGAAUUUUGGACAAUGGGCGCAAGCCUGAUCCAGCCAUUCCGCGUGAGUGAAGAAGGCCUUCGGGUUGUAAAGCUCUUUCGCAAGGGAAGAAAACUUACAUUCUAAUAAAGUGUGAGGCUGACGGUACCUUGAUAAGAAGCACCGGCUAACUACGUGCCAGCCGCCGCAGUAA
This 500-nucleotide ribosomal RNA is filed under the name uncultured bacterium. RNAcentral's name for it is "partial 16S ribosomal RNA". It matches the Rfam family "Bacterial small subunit ribosomal RNA", at positions 30 to 523 of the family's 1533-position model. The record is from RNAcentral.